This 269-nucleotide unclassified non-coding RNA is filed under the name air metagenome. RNAcentral describes it as "partial contains small subunit ribosomal RNA, internal transcribed spacer 1, and 5.8S ribosomal RNA". The stretch from base 1 to 46 matches the Rfam family "Eukaryotic small subunit ribosomal RNA", at positions 1786 to 1831 of the family's 1831-position model. The record is from RNAcentral.
AAGUCGUAACAAGGUUUCCGUAGGUGAACCUGCGGAAGGAUCAUUACUGAAUUAAUGACGGGGUUGUCGCUGGCCUUUACCGGCAUGUGCACGCCUCGCUCAUCCAAAUUCUUACACCUCUGUGCACUUUACAUGGAAUAAUUGGGGUCGUCUGCUUCAUUGCGGAUAACAACAGUUGUUCUGUGAUUUAUUACAAACGCUUCAGUUUAGAAUGUCAAUUGCGUUCAACGCAUUAAAUACAACUUUUAGCAACGGAUCUCUUGGCUCUC